CUGCCUUGGCCUCCCAAGUGCUAGGAUUAUAGGAGCAGCCACUGCGCCCAGCCAGCUGCAUAGAUCUAAACGAAAUAAAACAUCUCUGAUCAGUGGUGGAAGAGACAUGAGAAAUAGGGAACUGGGUGGAAGGCAUAUGAUAAUUUUUUCCAGUGGGGAAAAAAAAUCCCCAUUAGGAUGGCAGGGAAGAGGCAGAGAAGGCUCAUGCAUGGCAUGCUAAAACCUGAGCCAAGGACAGAGAAGCCAAGAAUGCGAGGGGGAAUUCUCGUUUCCUUCCUCACCAACUGCAUCAUCUGCCAACCCCUGCAAAGUGGAGGCAGGGCAGGUGGAAGAGAGACCGAGAAUGCUAAAUCUUCUGCAGCCCUGAGGCUUUUUUUAUGUGUUUUGGUUUUUUUAAAAAAAAAUUAUUUUCCAAGCCUACCCAGGCUGCUGCCUUAGAAAGCCAACUGCAAAGAAAUCACUUUGAUGGGUUUUGUGUUUCUCCACCACCUUUCUAAGCCAAAUUAGAGUGUAGAUUCCUUGUCCUUUUACCCACAAAGCAAAAGCAAAAGAGAUGAUUUUAAAGGAGAGGGUAAGAAAAACAAGUCUACAAUCUAUAUCACCAUUUGUGGCUGGGGUGGGGGUUGCGGGGGGCAAUUCUGCAUGCUGACAUCAUGAUCCAUGGCAUGGGAAAUGACUUCCACCAUUCAAAGCUUUAUUUGCAUUUUUUGGAGGUACAAGGAGACAUUUAAAAUCAGCUCCGGUGUUGACACUGCAAUUAUUAAACCCAAACAAAAGAUUCCUUCCAAAGUCUAACUGGUCCUCUGUAAAUUUAUCUGGGCCCCCACUACCUGAUUUAAGGCAAUGAGCAGAUGUUUCACAGCAGGAAGUGCAUUAGCUCCAGAUGCCGCUUUGUUCAGGAAGUGUGUAUGCACCCACGCACUGGAAACCACACACAAACACAAACACAAACACACGCACACACAAACACACACAGGACCUGGGGCAAUGAACAUUCAUGGCUCCCCUUCCAGCAUUUGGCAUGACCUCGUGGACCAUUUGUAACCUCUGCUUGCGGUUCUGACAGGGAAAUGAGCAGCAGGAGUGAGGAGCCAAUCAAAAGCCGCCUUAUCGUCUUCCCGUUGUCUCCUAGGUAACCGGCAUAGGGACACAUCAGCUAGCUGGGUACCACAGGGGGACACACACACACACACACACGCACACACACAACCAUGCUCCCUUAACAGUCCAUAACUGCAGAAAUGCCGGAUGUGCCUAUCAGCACCCUGGACAGAUCCCCACCCCAACCCAAGACUUCAAAGCCUUUGGUUAACUACGUUGACAGCCUUUUAUCUCCCACAGCUUUCUCACCUCCACCCCCUUACUCAUGCUGUUUCUCUGCCUGGGAUGCCACUCCCUACUACCAUCUCUAUCACCCAAAACUUUGGUCAUUUUCGGAGCUAGCCCAAGCUCUUGGUCUCCCAAGAGCUCCGAGCCCCUCCUUCAAGGGCUCCCAUCACAAUAAGAUCCACACUCCUUUCCCUGGCAGUAAAGGUCCUACACUGAUCUGACUUUCCAUGAUCUGAUUCCUCCAACCUUAUCAUUCUCUCCCUUCCUCUAUUCUUCUUUCUCUUCCUCCAACAGGUCAAACUGUCCUCCCCACACAACCCCCUGAAGACCAGGGCUUUUCUUUAUAUUUGCUGUUCCCUCCGCCUGCCUUGCUUUUCCUUCUGCUCUUGGUGUGGCUGGGCCUUCUCACUCUUUAGUGCCAGCUCAAAGUCACCUUCCAGGGAUGCCUCCCUGAUCAUCCUAGGCCAUCCUGCUAUAGAAGCACCCUCCCGCGGGACUCUCUUCUACAUCACCCUGUAUUCCUGUGUUGUCUUCAUAUCACUGAUGACUCUCUGAAACUCUCCAUUCACAUUUAUUUGUUCACUUGUUCUUUGUCUCCCCCUCUAGAAUGUAAACUCUGUUUCACAGGGUCUUUUUCUUGUUCACAGUUUUAUCCCCCAAUACCCAGAACAAGGCCCAGUAAAUAUUUGUUGCAUGAAUGAAAAGUUGUUUCCUUCUUGCUGCAUCUAUGUUUCCCCCAUCUCUCUAAUAAGGGUUGGAUCUGAUGACUUCUAUAACACUUCUGGCUAACAUUCCAAGGGUCUAUUAGAGACAGAAAGGGCCAGCAUAAGGAGGGAAAUUAAUCAGGCCACACCACAGGAAGAAUCUGCUGGUGGAAAUCUGACCUUCUCAACUGGGUCGCAGCGCCUUCCUCCUCUGAGCAGUCUCCCUGAUAGGAAUUUGCUGCCGCCCUCAACUCCACACUCCCUAAGCACUGGGCACCUUGAACUUUUGUUAUCUGAGGGAUUGGGGGCAACUUGAGGCUAAGGACUGGCUUUUAUUUUUCUGAUUGUGCACAGAGGCCAGCCAGAGCCUGGGGAGGGGGAGUUGGAAAGGGGUCCUCUGGAAGCAUUUGCUGCAAUAAAAGAAAGAAAAUGUCAAGGGGGAGGGUCAUUGAAGCACAAGUCUCUCUCUCUCUCUCUCUCUCUGUGUGUGUGUGUGUGUGUGUGUGUGUUUGUGUGUGUGUGUGUGUCAGCUCCAGCUGGUCUCUGCACAAUCAGAAAAAUAAAAGCCUGUCCUUAGCUUCAAGUUACCCCCAAUCCCUCAGAUAACAGAAGUUCAAGGUGCCCAGUGCUUGGGAAGUGUGGAUCACACACAAACACAGUCACACACACACAGACACACAUACACACACAACUCAAAAACGUAAUAAAGCAAGAAUCACAGAGUAUCCCAAUCCCAGCAGCUACAUGUGUCUCUCUUCAAGGAAGAUGACUGCUGUUUAAGAUUCUAAACCCUGUGUGAGUGAUUCUGACACAUGUGCUAUGUAAGUCUGUGGUGUGUCUUGUCCAUUCUCACUGGGCAACAGUAGGCCAUGAAUUCAAGUAGCCACAUGGUAGACACAAACCUACUGGAUCCCCUCAAACCCUAGCAGUGGAACAUCUCAAGCUGGCCACUCAUGACCCAGAAAUCCACCCUGAGCCCUGAGUUCUCCUCUGACCAACGAGCCCAACAAUGCAUCAGAUCAUUUCUCCAAAUCUGAAGUUAAAUCAGAUAUAAUAAUCAAGAAAGGGAGAACAGAACUGGCAUUUCUUAAGCACCUAUUACGUGCUGGUUCCUGUGCUAGGAUAUGUUAGCAUUGACUCUUUCUGACCACCCCGCGAGGCUGCCCCUCCAACUUUACAGGUGAAAGCAACUGAAGCUCAGAAAAAUUAAGUAGUUUCCCCAAGGUCACAUAGUUAGUAAUCAGAGGGACUUAAGAAGGACAUGAGUCUGGUCUUCAAGCCCACUCCUCUUUGUUGAGGCCUUAAAUUAUACAACGUGUAGGCAGAUGAGCUGGUCUUGUUCAAAACAUCCCUCCCGCUGGCUGGGGCCCCUCUCUGAGAGAUGCCAGGUGGAUGGCCCUGUCCCUGCAUCUAUCCCUGUCACUCCUGGGCCUGGCUGACCUCUCCCCACAACCUCUUGUCAAGCAGGACUCACAUCUCCAAACCUCUCAUGUGAGACCCAGCCCACGGGGACUAAUUUUCCUGUGGCCCAGAGAAAGCCGGAGAUUUUGCCUUUUUAAAAUAGUAAUUUCCUGCCAGCGCGGGUGGAUACACCAGCCACCCUCUGAUUUAGUGCGGAGCUCAAGGAUCAAUCCCAACUCAGAUUUUCCAAGGAAAAUUCAAAUGUGGGGCACCUCCUGGCAUUGAGGAAGGCAUUGGCCUUCUCUCAAGAGAUGUGUUCAGUGUGGGCAAAGCCAUUGUUGGUGUCACAAGACUCUCAUGCCUCAUACAUGUCACACACAUGCCUUGUACACACCCACAUGCAUCUCAAACAUGCCACCCACAUAGACACACCAUCCACCCGCCUCACCCAUCUCUCUCUCUCACACACACACACACACACACACACGAACACACACACGAGGCAGGGGGUGUCAAGAGCAAGAGAGCUACAUAGUCCCUCUCAGGACAUUACAGCCCCCACUUCCAAGCCUGUUCUGGACUGUGUGCUUUGCCAGGGUGCCUCAUUUCAUCCUUCCUAGGGCCCCAACAGGACAGGUUGCCCCCCACCCCUUUAAAGAGGCAGAAAGUGAGCCUGAGAGAGGCUUGUCCAAGAUCACAGGGCAUGCUCAGACGAAAGUUAGUGGUGGGCACCUGGCUCUGCGAGAUUUCCUUCUUAAUUAGCCCUGCUCCUUGGGGGCAGCUCCGUUGAGUAGAGGCACUCCUCCAAGACACCGCCCCCCUCCUUAUUGGCAGCCCUUCUCCCCUGCCUCCUCCCUCAAUCUCAAGGAAGGAAACCUAGGCACCCUCUCUACCCUAAAGCUGCUCCAUCCGCACCAACUCAGGUCAGGCGAGGAGUGGAGGGUCUGCUCCCUCGCUGGGCACACCUAUAGGCCCACCAGGGUCUGAGGCACUGGCUAAGGCUUAAUGGCUGUCUAAGCAAGACCCUCCACGGGCUCUGCCUGCAACCCCUCACAACCCAGGAUCUCAGUGGGGCCGAGAAGACAGACCCUACUUGGCCCUGGGACAGGACAGGAGGGGCAGGGACCAGCUCUCUCCGUCUUCCUCCACCCUACCCCAAGUCCCACACAGGAGCUCUGGGCCUGGGCUGGAAAUGGAAACUUUCCCACUAGACUGAGAGAGGCCCAACCUGGGGGGCAGACUGGAAGAAGGUGGGAGGCCUGGAAACUACUAAAAGCUUGCGGGUCACAUAGAUUUAGGUUCCCGGGCAGCUCUACCACCUGCUGGCUGUGUGACCUUGGGCAAGGGGCUUUACCUCUUUGAGGCUCAGUGUCCUUAUCUGCAAAGCGAAAGAAAAAUAGCGCCCUCCUAAGGGGGUGAUUGUGAAGGUCAAAGGCAGGGGCGAUGUGCACAGUCUGCGGGGCCUCGAAGUCAGCCAUUAUGCCCCCCAAAGUGAGCAGCGGGUGAGCAGCCACCACUGUGACCUCACCCUGCCCCCGACUCCCAGUUCUGAAAAUUCUUCAUUAGCACCAAAUCCAAACUUUUCCUCAGCAGUGGCAGGACCCAGGCGCGGGUCCUCCUUCCUCCUCCCGCCCCCUCGCGGUCAGACAACAGACCCCCCAUCUGCAAACUAGGGAUCAUCAUAAUGCCCUAACAGGGCUGAGUAGAGUUGACCCAGCUGCUUGUGUUCCAAAAGAGAGUUCAGCAGUGGAAUCCCAGGCAUCUUCAUACCGUCAGUGAAGCCAUCCGAACUUUGGCAUGCAGAAGUUCCACUUUCGUAACGAAGGGAAUUAUCUCAGGUCCCCAAUAAUCCUUCAAGGUCUACCUGGAGAAAAUGUUGAGCAUUAGAAAGAGCAAAAGCUUCGGAGUCGCCCAGCUGCAGAUCCAAAUCCCAGCUCCCAGCUCCACUGUUCCAUUCAUUCGCUCGCUGGGUAUUUGUUGAACAUCUGCUACAUAGGAGGCACUGUACUUUGUGUUGAGUACAUCAUUGAUUUGGAUGAAAAUCCUUGCUGUCACAGAGCUCACAUCCUAAUGGAACAUUUUAUUUGCUACUUGACCUCAGGCAAGUCAUUGCACCUCUCCAAGCCUCAGUUUAUCCAUCUUUAAAGUGGGACUUGUAACCCCCAACCUUGCAAUGUGGCUGAGAUACAAGCAGGUAAGGGGCCUGAGACAUUCGAUGAAAGGCAUCCCAGGCACCUAGAGCUGGAAGGAACCUCGUUCCAAGAUGAUUCUGCAGCUGUUGCCAAAUGCAGAUGAGACAGGGGCUGCAACAUGGUUCAUCCAAGGCCACUCAGUGAGGUGGGGCAGAGCAAGAAUGGCGGCCCAGGUGCCCUCUCCUGUCCUGCUUCCCUUGAGUCUGAUGCUCUCUGUGUGGUCCAGUCAGGGCUGAGAAGUGAAAGGAAAUAGAGGCUGCCCUUCACCUCCCCUCCAGCUCCUGAAGCUGGAAGCUGCCUCUUCUCCUCUCACAUCACCACCAGGCAAUCAUGGGGAAAGCAUAGCCUGACUACCUUUUGGAAACAGCAGCCUCUAGUGUCUGGGCCAGAACAAGGGCUCAGGAGGAGCCCCAGGCAGCCCAGCUUUUGAGUCGGAUGGAAAUUACUAUUCUCUAAAUAUCAGUUCAGCCACAGUUAUUCAGGGAAGAGGCCCAGCACAGAUUGGGGAGGGUGAGGAGGAUGCGGGGAACAGAAUUAGCUUCUCUGUUGUCAGCCCCUGCAGUUUAGCUCUGACAGCAAACCUGCACAUUUUACUCAGCAAAACCAAGGCCCGAUCCCUGCCUCGCCCUCUUGUUGGCAGUCCAUGCAGUGGACCUGCUCUCAAAGAUCUCACCCUUCCUCAGGCUGCAGGGCCUCACCCAACCACGAUUCCUUUUAACCCACAGAAGACUUUAUGCCGAGGAGUCCUGGAAUAUCUCCUUUUCUCCAUCUUGGGACAUCUGUGGGGCGGUUUUUCCCCCUCUAGAUGGGGGCAUCAAAAACUGCCUUGCUUUCCUGACCUUAACCCAUCUCAGUGCCCAUGGGGUUGCGCUAAACAUCUCCAGAGAAAUGUCUUUAAAUAAACAGAUUUCAUACUUGAGAGGAGACCAGAAAUGUCUAAAACCAUCUCUGUUUACUCUCUCACAUUUGUGAGGUUUGUUUGUUUGUUUGUUUAUUUGUUUGUUUUAAAGCCAAUCAUGGUCUUUUCUUCAAAAACCAUGAAAGAAGAAAGGAUGCUAACAGCUCCAUUUCACAGAUGGCAAAACUGAGGCUGAACAUGGGAAAGUGACUUGUUGGAGGCUCUGUGGUUAAGAAAGAUGUGUAUCUCUCUCUCUCUUUUUUUUUCUCA
RNAcentral lists this long non-coding RNA (6794 nucleotides) under Homo sapiens (human). RNAcentral's name for it is "HSALNT0310502". Lineage: Eukaryota; Metazoa; Chordata; Mammalia; Primates; Hominidae. The record is from RNAcentral.